RNAcentral lists this ribosomal RNA (910 nucleotides) under uncultured Bacteroidota bacterium. RNAcentral's name for it is "bacterial SSU rRNA". It matches the Rfam family "Bacterial small subunit ribosomal RNA", at positions 8 to 916 of the family's 1533-position model. The record is from RNAcentral. Lineage: Bacteria; Pseudomonadati; Bacteroidota.
AGAGUUUGAUCAUGGCUCAGGAUGAACGCUAGCGGCAGGCUUAACACAUGCAAGUCGAGGGGCAACGCGAGUAGCAAUACUUGGCGGCGACCGGCGCAAGGGUGCGUAACGCGUGAGCAACAUGCCCGUAUCAGGGGGAUAAUCCAGGGAAACUUGGUCUAAUACCCCAUAGUAAUUUUAUAAGGCAUCUUAUGAAAUUUAAAGCUUUGGUGGAUACGGAUUGGCUCGCGUGACAUUAGCUGGAUGGUAAGGUAACGGCUUACCAUGGCAAUGAUGUCUAGGGGUUCUGAGAGGAAGGUCCCCCACACUGGAACUGAGACACGGUCCAGACUCCUACGGGAGGCAGCAGUGAGGAAUAUUGGACAAUGGAUGGAAAUCUGAUCCAGCUAUGCCGCGUGAAGGAAGAAUGUCCUAUGGAUUGUAAACUUCUUUUGUAUGGGAGCAAUAAGGUAUUCGUGAAUACUGAUGAGAGUACCAUACGAAUAAGCAUCGGCUAACUCCGUGCCAGCAGCCGCGGUAAUACGGAGGAUGCGAGCGUUAUCCGGAUUUAUUGGGUUUAAAGGGUGCGUAGGCUGUUAUAUAAGUCAGUGGUGAAAUAUUCGGGCUCAACCGGGAUACUGCCAUUGAUACUGUAUAGCUGGAAUAUGGUUGCUGUGGGUGGAAUGUGUGGUGUAGCGGUGAAAUGCAUAGAUAUCACACAGAAUACCGAUUGCGAAGGCAACUCACAAAGCCAUUAUUGACGCUGAUGCACGAAAGUGUGGGGAUCAAACAGGAUUAGAUACCCUGGUAGUCCACACUGUAAACGAUGAUAACUAGCUGUCGGCGAUACACAGUCGGUGGCCAAGCGAAAGCGAUAAGUUAUCCACCUGGGGAGUACGACCGCAAGGUUGAAACUCAAAUGAAUUGACGG